ACCAUCCUUUUCUUGGGGUUGCGCUACUGUCCAGUGAAUGCAUAGUGAGAGCAGUAAUGCUAACACCUACAUAACACGCUCACAUCAACUGGCGUUUUGCUUUAUAUUGAUUCAAUUUUUGGAAAA
Molecule: small nuclear RNA, 126 nt
Organism: Nycticebus coucang (slow loris)
Lineage: Eukaryota; Metazoa; Chordata; Mammalia; Primates; Lorisidae
Product: U4atac minor spliceosomal RNA
Exons: 1
Source: RefSeq, a predicted model, not a curated record